RNAcentral lists this ribosomal RNA (253 nucleotides) under uncultured bacterium. Its description in RNAcentral is "partial 16S ribosomal RNA". It matches the Rfam family "Bacterial small subunit ribosomal RNA", at positions 524 to 776 of the family's 1533-position model. The record is from RNAcentral.
UACAGAGGGGGCAAGCGUUGUUCGGAAUUACUGGGCGUAAAGGGCGCGUAGGCGGCCUUCUAAGUCGAACGUGAAAUCCCCGGGCUCAACCCGGGAACUGCGUCCGAUACUGGAAGGCUUGAAUCCGGGAGAGGGAUGCGGAAUUCCAGGUGUAGCGGUGAAAUGCGUAGAUAUCGGGAGGAAUACCAGCGGCGAAGGCGGCCUUCUGGACGGUGACUGACGCUGAGACGCGAAAGCGUGGGGAGCAAACAGG